This is a long non-coding RNA of Pyrus x bretschneideri (Chinese white pear), 892 nucleotides long. RefSeq lists it as uncharacterized. The transcript has 2 exons. NCBI's taxonomy places the organism in Eukaryota, Viridiplantae, Streptophyta, Magnoliopsida, Rosales, Rosaceae. The record is from RefSeq and is a predicted model, not a curated record.
UACAACUCUCUUCGUCAACACCCCCUACCCUGUUCGGCCGAGCGUGUCAUCGUCGACGCCGGCUCCAACUUCACCUUCUUCUUCCCACGCCUCGGUUGUCCGGAAGAGGCUGGUGGGUCUGCAAUGAGUUCCCGCCACACUACCGCUGCUGAUUUUAUGCUGCUUUCUUUGCUGGUGGAUGCUGCCCUUCUUGCUCACCAAUCUCUUCUUUUACUGAUUUUUCAGGAAAAGACCGCGACCCAAGUAUGAAGACGACAACCCAUCAGUUUUUGCAGUUCAAAACAGUCCCAUUUCGUCUACGGCCAAAGUGGUGACUGAUCAGCCUUCAAUGGUUGAGACCCAAAAAAUAAUAGUUUAAUAAAAUGAAAAGAAAAGAAAAUAGUGUAAUAAAAUAAUAUUUAAUUUGAUAUAGCGGGUGAAGAGCAAAAUUUUGAAAAAUGUUAUAAUGUAACAGGCUGUCAAAUUCAAGUUUUAUGUUUAAAAUUUGAUAUCUCCUUUAGAGAUGUUCUUAGUGUUAAAUAUCUGUUAUGACCUAAUUAUUACGCUUUUUUUAAUCAGACCCAAUUAUUAUCCUUAAAACUUGCACUUUUCACCCUUGGUCAAAUUCAAAAUAUAGAGGAAUGAAAUGUUAUUAUUCUUAUUUCUCAGAAAAAAUAAAAUUAAAUAAAAACCCAGCUAAUGAAAUUGGGUCGUUAAUUGAUGAAGAACUUGACUUGCAGUUGCAUACAAAGGCCUUCACAACAACACAUAUAAAACCUAACUUAACGAAAUAAUUGUACCCUUUUCAGAGUCUUUGACAAGAAAGAUAGAGAUAAUUCUGCUAAAAAUCUGAACCUAACAAUAACUUGUUUUCAAGUUCACCAAACAAUAUUCAUAUCAUGAUCUAAAUAAA